AUUGAACGCUGGCGGCAGGCCUAACACAUGCAAGUCGAGCGGAUGAAGGGAGCUUGCUCCUGGAUUCAGCGGCGGACGGGUGAGUAAUGCCUAGGAAUCUGCCUGGUAGUGGGGGAUAACGUCCGGAAACGGGCGCUAAUACCGCAUACGUCCUGAGGGAGAAAGUGGGGGAUCUUCGGACCUCACGCUAUCAGAUGAGCCUAGGUCGGAUUAGCUAGUUGGUGGGGUAAAGGCCUACCAAGGCGACGAUCCGUAACUGGUCUGAGAGGAUGAUCAGUCACAAUGGAACUGAGACACGGUCCAGACUCCUACGGGAGGCAGCAGUGGGGAAUAUUGGACAAUGGGCGAAAGCCUGAUCCAGCCAUGCCGCGUGGGUGAAGAAGGUCUUCGGAUUGUAAAGCACUUUAAGUUGGGAGGAAGGGCAGUAAGUUAAUACCUUGCUGUUUUGACGUGACCAACAGAAUAAGCACAGGCGAACUUCGU
Molecule: ribosomal RNA, 483 nt
Filed under: uncultured bacterium
Lineage: Bacteria
Description: partial 16S ribosomal RNA
Rfam family: Bacterial small subunit ribosomal RNA
Source: RNAcentral